This 2947-nucleotide long non-coding RNA is filed under the name Homo sapiens (human). Its description in RNAcentral is "non-protein coding lnc-RADIL-5:1". Lineage: Eukaryota; Metazoa; Chordata; Mammalia; Primates; Hominidae. The record is from RNAcentral.
GAAUCAUGUGGACCCUGUUACAAGAUUACAGCUCUCCACACCUGCUCUGCAGACAACAGCUUGAACCUUAUGAAACAUGAAGUUUUCUCUUUGAGAUAUUCCUUCAGGUCUUGCAUACUCAUGAAAGUAAUGACUUGUUUGAUCUGAAAGACCCUGCUGAUGCCAGCUGGUCUGAAGGAACCCACAGGAGCUGACUUACCAAAGAAUGCGGUUUUCACCUUCUGAUGAUUUCAUUCCCCUGACCCCACCAAUGAACAGCCCCUCAUCCUCCAUGAUCCUCUUAAAAACCCCAGAAUUCCUCAGAGAGAUGGAUUUGGAGGUCUCCUUCCAUCUCCCUGCUUGGGGUCCUGCCAUCGCUAAACUGUCUGUCCUGCAAAUUCUGCUGUCUCAGUGCAUUGGUCUGUUACUCUGCAGGGGGCACAGGAACCUGUUGGUUCCGUAACAGCAGAGCCUGCCUUUUCAGCCCUUCCUUGCUCAGCCACCAGAUGUAGGCCACCCAGGAAGUCGUGACCUUGGGCAGGGUGGCUCUCUGCCACUGAGGCUCACCUUCAGGAGCUGGUGGCUGAAGGCACACACGGUCACAUUCCCCCUAGUUGGGCAGCAAAGCCUUCCUUGAAUGAGAGUCCUUUCCACAGCUCCAUGUCCACCACAACUGUGUUCUCCCUUCCAGAAUUACUCUAACAAAGUCCUCCAAGAACAUCUGUUUCCCUUCCAUGGUUUGUUUUCUUUGCCCAAAGAAUCAGGGGGCCAUGUUUAGCUUAGGUUCAAAGGACCCUUCUCCCUCCCACUGGAGGUUCGUAAUCCUAAUGCCAGCCCAAGCCAGUGGAGGAGAGUCUUAAGUUUAAUAAAAUCAGGGGGUUUUAGUAUUAGAGUGUUUUAAUCCCCGAAAGAGAUACUAUUUACUUAUAUUUUUUGGAAGACAUAAAAUAACCUACGUGAUCUGCCUGAAAUUUCAUUAAGGGCUAAGAAAAACUAGCCAAGAAAAUGGGUUUGAAGAGUCCAUAGCCAAAAAGAAAGAUGGAGCUUUGUGUUUGCUGCCCAAGACCAGCUCCUUUGAUAAAUCUUACAUGGGUUUUUCAGGAAGUACAAAAAAGCUUAAGCCAAAUUAAAAAUUCAUUUUCCUAAUGCGAGAGUCACCCAACUCUUCCAGGCUCUAGAUGAGAACUUACGGCUUAUCUCAACCCCUCAAGCUGUAGGUAUGGCUUUAACUUGACUCAAAUGUGCUAUUUCAGAAGACGCUCCAACUUUUAAAGAAAACCAAGUCUAAAGUUCAACUCAGGACCUUUCUCACGAAUCAUGCACAAUUGUAAUUUUUAGAACUAAAAUCGCAACUUCUGAAAAUAAAAGAAUUUGAAAAGCAACAAACCGAUAAACAGAGAGGCAUCCUCACCUUCUUCGUGCACCUUCUGGCCUUGCUGCCGGCGCAGCGGGCUCUGACCGUGCUGUGCUUCUGCGAUUCAGGUCUUCACCUGAUCUCAACAGCUCACCAGCUGGCCCUUCUCUCCCCAAUUAGAGAUUUUACCUUCACAAACAGCGUCCUUCCUAGGACCACGCUCAGACCACCCAGAAGAACGCUUGCCUUUUGCCUUUUCAACUUCUGUGCCCUUAGCUCCAGUUUAAUUCCUCGCCAAGUGUCAGAAACAGGAAGGGGAAAAAAAGGGGUCAGCUGUCAGGGCAGCUUUGCGCUGGGAGCAUUACACUCUCACGGCUGUUUUCCCCAAUUAGAAUGUUUUCUGGACGGUUUGCUUGUGAACUAGGGCAUAACCUGUUCAGCUUUCUCCUUUUGGAAAAGCCCACUGAUUCUCUCUGUGCCUGAAGUGAAGUGUUAAAAAAAAUUCCCUAUUGUAUAUAUUCAACUUUUGAUACAGCUCUGGAAAAAUUGAGCAUAUACUAAGAAUACAGAAUGUGAUGACAUUAGUUCCCUAAGCAUAUUUGUGAUUAAGUAGCUUAUAACAUCGAAGGAUCAACCAAUAGACGGCUAAGAUAGAAAUUAACAUGGUCCUUGAUUUUAAAAAAAGGUUUAAAUUCAUUUAAAAGAAAAAAAAUACAAAACUGAAGACUGGACGUUUCCAGUUUUCCUUCCUGGAGAUUUAAUUGAGCCAUCUGAAACUCAUUUGAGAAACUGAUCUUUAAAAAAAAAAAAAAAAAGGCUUUGUGAUAAAGUUUAAAUUUUGCUCAAGUACUGCUGAUGCUUAUUCUGCUGUCUCUCCAACAAGAAAUGCCCCUGCUCUAGAGGAGAGAGGAUCACAGGCAACAACUUAGAACCUGGGGUUUGUGGCCUCGUGUGGUGGCUCACUUCUUAAGCCCAGCACUUUGGGAGGCUGAGGUGGGAGGAUUGCUUGAGGCCAGGAGUUUGAGGCCAGCUUGGGCAACAUAGUGAGACUUUGUCUCUACUUUAAAAAAAAAGAGAAAAAAAAAAAAAGGCUGGGCACGGUGGCUCACGCCUGUAAUCCCAGCACUUUGGGAGGCUGAGGCGGGUGGAUCACCUGAGGUGAGGAGUUCGAGACCAGCCUGACCAAUAUGGAAAAACCCUGUUUCUACUAAAAAUACAAAAAUUAGCUGGGCGUGGUGGUGCAUGCCUGUAAUCCCAGCUACUGGGGAGGCUGAGGCAGGAGAAUCGCUUGAACCCAGGAGGCAGAGGUUGCAGUGAGCCAAGAUCAUGCCAUUGCACACCAGCUUGGGCAACAAGAGUGAAACUCCGUCUCAAAAGAAAAAAAAAAAAAAGGAAGAAAGAAAGAAAAACGGGGUUUGUGGACUCUAUAACCAACUUCUGAGUCAACAUGGGGCUACUUGGCUACAUACAUUCUCUCUUCAUGGAACUUAUGGUGGUGAUCACAGGUCCAGCCCUCCUUCAAACAGAGCUCAUGAAAAUGGACAGUACCCUUGCCAAGUGACUUGUAUGUAUUCACAUUUAAGACUGAGUUCUUUUUUUUUUUCUUUAAAAUUU